This 359-nucleotide ribosomal RNA is filed under the name uncultured bacterium. RNAcentral's name for it is "bacterial SSU rRNA". It matches the Rfam family "Bacterial small subunit ribosomal RNA", at positions 8 to 353 of the family's 1533-position model. The record is from RNAcentral.
AGAGUUUGAUCAUGGCUCAGGAUGAACGCUAGCUACAGGCUUAACACAUGCAAGUCGGAAGGGGAAACGACUAUCGAAAGCUUGCCUUUUGAUGGGCGUCGACCGGCUACGGGUGAGUAACGCGUAUCCAACCUGCCCACCACUUGGGGAUAACCUUGCGAAAGUAAGACUAAUACCCAAUGAUAUCUCUAGAAGACAUCUGAAAGAGAUUAAAGAUUUAUCGGUGAUGGAUGGGGAUGCGUCUGAUUAGCUUGUUGGCGGGGUAACGGCCCACCAAGGCAACGAUCAGUAGGGGUUCUGAGAGGAAGGUCCCCCACAUUGGAACUGAGACACGGUCCAAACUCCUACGGGAGGCAGCA